Molecule: ribosomal RNA, 253 nt
Filed under: uncultured bacterium
Lineage: Bacteria
Description: partial 16S ribosomal RNA
Rfam family: Bacterial small subunit ribosomal RNA
Source: RNAcentral
UACGGGGGGAGCAAGCGUUGUUCGGAUUUACUGGGCGUAAAGGGCGCGUAGGCGGUCAGCACAAGUCAGUUGUGAAAUCUCCGGGCUUAACUCGGAAAGGUCAACUGAUACUGUGCGACUAGAGUGCAGAAGGGCAACUGGAAUUCUCGGUGUAGCGGUGAAAUGCGUAGAUAUCGAGAGGAACACCUGCGGCGAAGGCGGGUUGCUGGGCUGACACUGACGCUGAUGCGCGAAAGCCAGGGGAGCGAACGGG